AGGUGGGUGAUCCAAUGGUGGUUUUGUGUGAAAAAAGGUUAAUCGUUUCCUCUAUCUUUGUCUCAUUGCUCACCGUGCAUGCGAAUGCGCACAAACUUGCACACGUAUUAUGUGGUAUGAUAUCUCACGGUGAGAUGGUUGUGUUUGAAUUAUUGCAUUUUGUUGUACCUCAAUGAUAGGUAAUAGUGAUUAAAUCAAGAAAACCAAAUCUUAACAAAAACUAUGAAAAUUGGAAAAUCGAGGCAUGGAUACACUAAAUGAGGUGUAGAUCUUUGUCUAUUUCAUGAUAGUGAUAAUACAGAGUCAUUAAACAUAGUGAGUUUUGAUAUGGGCAAGAUAAAGAAUGUUGCCAAUGCGCCCAUGCCAUUAUGUUUUUGGGAUUAUGUAUUCUAAUGAUAAGGUAAUUCAAAUUGUCAUAAAAUUAUAAAUAUAUAGGUUUUCAGUACUUCAAAAAAAUUUCUAACAUCCACUACUAGGCGACAUCUGUUGGCUGGU
RNAcentral lists this long non-coding RNA (495 nucleotides) under Phoenix dactylifera (date palm). RNAcentral's name for it is "long non-coding RNA (PDAC_LNC002322)". The record is from RNAcentral. Lineage: Eukaryota; Viridiplantae; Streptophyta; Magnoliopsida; Arecales; Arecaceae.